UCUGAAAAAAAUUGUAUAACACGAAGCCAUAAAUACUGAAUCUUAGCUGAUUGCAUUAUGAACUGUCAAACUGUGAAGAUGACCCAUAUGUAAACAGUUAUAACAGCUACAGAUUAUUGCUAGUAGCAUUCCAUACAAUUCCAUAUUAAUGUUCUUAGGAGCUAAUAUUUGAUAAAGGGGAAAGCUAGUUAAAAACUAAUUAAUUUGUCAAAUGUAGCAUUCUUAUUAUGAGUGUAAUAUCUCAUGGAGAUUUAAAUAUGAACGAAAGGACUUAUCCUUCUGCUUUUUAAAAGCCCCAGCAUUACUAGAUAGUGUUUUUCUUGAAGGCCAAAGCUGUAAAAUGACAAAGUUGGUGAUUUUCAGCAGCACUCACCUGAGCUGUGAGCGCCUGCACCUGUUCGGUAGAACCCACUAGAAUCACUUCUCUGUAGGAUAAGUGAUGCCUUUGAAUCCAGCAGCAUAAAAAUCUGUUCUUUUUAGUCAUCAAGUUUUUGUUUCCAGGAUAUUUCUAGCAUUGCAAAAAAAAAUUUCUUCACCAAACACUAAUUCCUAAACACCCAUCCAAACCACAAAAAUUCUCUUGUUAGUAGGCGAGAGUGCUAGGACUUCCUGUGUUCACCUCCCAUGCACCCAGCAUUGUCUUUUAUGCAUGAGAUAUUCCAUUAGAUUUUCCUAGAGUGGCCAGGACACCCUUCAUAGUAAGUUAUAUCUCUUAACUGGAUUCUAUAGUUUUAUCUCGAGCAACUUGGAAAAGCUAAGACAUCCUCCACCCACACUGGUAUCUACGCGCCUGGAAGCUGCACCUUCUCUCAUUGCUGUGCUCUGCUUUAAGGAAAACCUGAUAUGACAGAAUCAAGACUAUUAAAAGAUAAAUGAGGGGAAAUCUUCAUUUAAGAAAGUUGCCUUGCUCCCCAAGAGUGCCUUUAAUUGCUAUUCCCCUAGGCAUCUGGGUGCAUAUCAUUAAUGAAAUCAUUAACCUUUGUCUCUGGUCCUUCCUUUCUAAAAACAGCAGAUUAUAGAAGGUGGUCUGGCAAAGGGAUUUUCAAAGGGCAAAAGUCUCAUCAUCAUCUUUCCACUCAAAAUCCUAUUAUUCUACAUUUCACUUUGCAGGGGUCCUAGGGACAGGAUUGCAGGGACAGGGGACAUGGGAGGAAGACAGAAAAAUUCAAAACCAGCAGAUGCCACUACCUGGCAAUGAAUUGAAAAUUAGGGGAAAGCAUCUUUGGCGUGACCUUUUAUUAAGACAACAGAAAUUUAGAACAUUUUACAUGCUUCUUUGUUAAAUGGUGAAGCAAGGGAAUGAAAGUAUUUAUUUUUAGAGCUCAUAGUUAACUCCAUCAAGACAUGGCUACCCACCCCUCCAGUUAUGAACUUGUAUUACAGCUCCACUUGGUGACUUCCUUUCUGUGUAUCAGGAGCAGAGCAGAGGACAACUUGUAGAAGACAUGACCAUUAAGAGACAUCAACUUCGCAACAAAUAUAAGACAAGGAUACAAGGAUUCCUAUGUGAUGCAGCUAGGUUUUUAUAUCCUUCUAACAAAUGGUGAGCAGGAGACUUUUUUGGAAAUAAUUAGUUGUGAAAUUCCAUUUUUCUGACAGCCCCUUAAAUUUGAAGUUAUUUCAUUUGUAGUUAAGGUUAUCACAUCCCUGC
This 1651-nucleotide long non-coding RNA is filed under the name Homo sapiens (human). RNAcentral's name for it is "long non-coding RNA NONHSAT225911". The record is from RNAcentral. Lineage: Eukaryota; Metazoa; Chordata; Mammalia; Primates; Hominidae.